Molecule: ribosomal RNA, 222 nt
Filed under: uncultured bacterium
Lineage: Bacteria
Description: partial 16S ribosomal RNA
Rfam family: Bacterial small subunit ribosomal RNA
Source: RNAcentral
GCUCCCUCGCGCCACUCAGACUCCUACGGACGGGCGAGGCAGUGGGGAAUCGUUGCGCAAUGGACGAAAGUCUGACGCAGCGACGCCGCGUGGGUGAUGAAGGCCUUCGGGUUGUAAAGCCCUGUGGGGAGAGGACGAAUAAGUGCCGCCUAAUACGUUGCAUGAUGACGGUAUCUCCUUAGCAAGCACCGGCUAACUCUGUGCCAGCAGCCGCGGUAAUUC